GGUCAAGUUAUUAAGGGUGCAGGGCGGAUGCCUUGGCACUAGGAGCCGAUGAAGGACGUGAUAAGCUGCGAUAAGCUUCGGGGAGUUGCACGUAAACUUUGAUCCGAAGAUUUCCGAAUGAGGAAACUCACUUAGAGUAAUGUCUAAGUAUCAUUAAGUGAAUACAUAGCUUAAUGAGGGGAACUCAGGGAACUGAAACAUCUAAGUACCUGAAGGAAGAGAAAGAAAUUCGAUUCCGUAAGUAGCGGCGAGCGAACGCGGAUUAGCCCAAACCAAUAAAGUUUUCUUUAUUGGGGUUGCGGACAUAUCAUAACGAAGAGGUAUCGUAAUUGAAGAGGUUUGGAAAGACCCACCACAGAAGGUAAUAGUCCUGUAUGUUAAACGAGAAGACUUCAGAUAUGAUCCAGAGUACCACGGGACACGUGAAACCCUGUGGGAAGCAGGAGGGACCACCCUCCAAGGCUAAAUACUACCUAGUGACCGAUAGCGUAUAGUACCGUGAGGGAAAGGUGAAAAGAACCCCGGGAGGGGAGUGAAAUAGAACCUGAAACCCUGCACUUACAAGCUGUGGAAGCACAUUUCUUGUGUGACCGCGUACUUUUUGUAGAACGGGCCAACGAGUUACGUUAAGUAGCAAGGUUAAGCACUUAAGGUGCGGAGCCGUAGCGAAAGCGAGUUUUAACUGAGCGUUCAGUUACUUGACGUAGACCCGAAACCGGGCGACCUACCCAUGAGCAGGAUGAAGCGAAAGUAAAAUUUCGUGGAGGUCCGAACCCACGAGCGUUGAAAAGCUCGGGGAUGACUUGUGGGUAGCGGUGAAAUUCCAAUCGAGCCCGGAGAUAGCUGGUUCUCCCCGAAAUAGCUUUAGGGCUAGCCUCAAGGUGAGAGAUACGGAGGUAGAGCACUGAAUGUCCUAGGGGGUAUUGCACCUACCGAAGACUAUCAAACUCCGAAUGCCGUCAUCUUAUACUUGGGAGUCAGACUGUGGGUGAUAAGAUUCAUAGUCGAAAGGGCAACAGCCCAGAUCGUCAGCUAAGGUCCCUAAAUGUAAGUUAAGUGGUAAAGGAUGUGGGAUUGCACAGACAACCAGGAUGUUGGCUUAGAAGCAGCCACUCAUUCAAAGAGUGCGUAAUAGCUCACUGGUCGAGUGAUCCUGCGCCGAAGAUUUCCGGGGCUAAAACUUACUACCGAAGCUACGGCAUCAGUAAUGAUGGGUAGGGGAGCUUCCCAUACGGGUUGAAGCAUGACCGUAAGGACAUGUGGACAGUAUGGGAGUGAGAAUGUUGGCAUGAGUAGCGAGAUGUGGGUGAGAAUCCCACAGGCCGUAAACCCAAGGUUUCCAGGGGAAGGUUCGUCCGCCCUGGGUUAGUCGGGACCUAAGCUGAGGCCGAAAGGCGUAGGUGAUGGACAACAGGUUGAUAUUCCUGUACUACCGAUAACCGUUUGAGAGAAGGGAUGACACAGUAGGAUAAGCUAAGCACACUGUUGGUUAUGUGUGCCCAAGCAUUGAGGCAGUCAAAGUAGGCAAAUCCGCUUUGAUAAUGCUGGGAUGUGAUGGGGAGCGAAAUUUAGUAGCGAAGUAGCUGAUUUCACACUGUCAAGAAAAGUCUCUAUCGAGGUUAAAGGUACCCGUACCGCAAACCGACACAGGUGGGUGAGGAGAGUAUCCUAAGGCCAGCGAGAGAACUGUUGUUAAGGAACUCGGCAAAAUGACCCCGUAACUUAGGGAUAAGGGGUGCCACCAUCAGGUGGCCGCAGAGAAUAGGCCCAAGCGACUGUUUACCAAAAACAUAGGUUUCUGCUAAGUCGCAAGACGAUGUAUAGGAGCUGACGCCUGCCCGGUGCUGGAAGGUUAAGGGGAUCUGUUAGAGCAAUCGAAGCAGUGAACUUAAGCCCCAGUAAACGGCGGCCGUAACUAUAACGGUCCUAAGGUAGCGAAAUUCCUUGUCGGGUAAGUUCCGACCCGCACGAAAGGCGUAACGAUUUGGGCACUGUCUCAACAACAGACUCGGUGAAAUUGUAAUUCCGGUGAAGAUGCCGGAUACCUGCGACAGGACGGAAAGACCCCAUGGAGCUUUACUGUAGCUUGACAUUGGGUCUUGGUACUACAUGUACAGGAUAGGUGGGAGGCUUUGAAACCAGGACGCCAGUUUUGGCGGAGCCAUCCUUGGGAUACCACCCUUGUAGUACUGGGACUCUAACCAUAGGCCAUGAAUCUGGUCUUGGGACACUGUCAGGUGGGCAGUUUGACUGGGGCGGUCGCCUCCCAAAAGGUAACGG
Molecule: ribosomal RNA, 2280 nt
Filed under: Clostridioides difficile
Lineage: Bacteria; Bacillati; Bacillota; Clostridia; Peptostreptococcales; Peptostreptococcaceae
Description: partial 23S ribosomal RNA
Rfam family: Bacterial large subunit ribosomal RNA
Source: RNAcentral